UACGAAGGGGGCUAGCGUUGUUCGGAAUUACUGGGCGUAAAGCGCACGUAGGCGGACUUAUAAGUCAGGGGUGAAAUCCCGGGGCUCAACCUCGGAACUGCCUUUGAUACUGUAAGUCUCGAGUCCGGAAGAGGUGAGUGGAAUUCCUAGUGUAGAGGUGAAAUUCGUAGAUAUUAGGAAGAACACCAGUGGCGAAGGCGGCUCACUGGCUCGAUACUGACGCUGAGGUGCGAAAGCGUGGGGAGCAAACAGG
RNAcentral lists this ribosomal RNA (253 nucleotides) under uncultured bacterium. RNAcentral describes it as "partial 16S ribosomal RNA". It matches the Rfam family "Bacterial small subunit ribosomal RNA", at positions 524 to 776 of the family's 1533-position model. The record is from RNAcentral.